Molecule: ribosomal RNA, 305 nt
Filed under: uncultured bacterium
Lineage: Bacteria
Description: bacterial SSU rRNA
Rfam family: Bacterial small subunit ribosomal RNA
Source: RNAcentral
AAUCUCCUACGGGAGACAGCAGUAGGGAAUUUUCGUCAAUGGGCGCAAGCCUGAACGAGCAAUGCCGCGUGAACGAGGAAGGUCUUCGGAUCGUAAAGUUCUGUUGAAGGGGAAAAAGAGCGGAGAGAGGAAAUGAACUCCGAUUGAUAUUACCCUUCGAGGAAGUCACGGCUAACUACGUGCCAGCAGCCGCGGUAAUACGUAGGUGGCGAGCGUUAUCCGGAAUGAUUGGGCGUAAAGGGCGCGUAGGCGGCCUGCUAAGUCUGGAGUGAAAGGUACCGGCUCAACCGGUACAGGCUCUGGAA